GUUCUUACACUUUUAACACCGAAAAAUGCUAGAACUAUCUUAAGCGAACCCCAAAAAAAAAAAAAAAAAAAAACCCAACUCAUCAAACUGAAGCAAACAAUAAGAAAUGGAUGUGCUCAAGCUCGAUACCAAAUGGGUCUCCACCAUAGCCAGCAUAUGGAUCCAGUGCACAAGCGGCUCUCUCUACACCUUCUCCAUCUACUCCUCAGUUCUAAAAUCAACCCAAGCCUACGACCAAUCCACGCUCGACACCGUGUCUGUCUUCAAAGACAUAGGCGUCAACGCCGGCGUCCUCUCCGGCGUCCUCUACUCCUCCGCCACAACAGCUAAUCACCGCCGCCGUACUGGGCCGUGGCUGGUCCACCUGGUAGGCGCGGUUCAAUGCUUUUUGGGGUAUUUCCUGAUGUGGGCCUCCGUUGUUGGGCUGAUUCCUCGGCCUCCCAUGGCGGCCAUGUGCUUGUUCAUGUUGGUGGCGGCUCACGCGCAGAGCUUCUUCAACACUGCUAAUGUGGUCACUGGGGUUAGGAACUUUCCUAAUUAUAGUGGCACUAUUGUUGGCAUUAUGAAGGGUUUUCUUGGUUUAAGUGGAGCAAUUUUAAUUGAAGUAUAUGAGACAAUAUUCACCAACAAGCCUACAUCCUAUCUUCUGAUGCUGGCACUGUUGCCUACUAUUAAUACUUUGUUGCUCAUGUGGUUUGUGAGAAUCAACAACACUAAUGAAGGAGAUGAAAAGAAACACUUAGAUUCUUUCUCACUGAUUGCACUGGUCAUUGCUGCUUAUCUUAUGGCCAUAAUAAUAUUAGAGCACAUUUUUUUAUUUCAAUUUGCAAUACGUGUCAUUGCAUUUGUGCUGCUCAUGCUGCUGCUUGCCUCACCUCUUUGCAUAGCAAUUAGAGCCCAUCAAAGAGAUUCUGAUAGGAUUUCACAGACUCUCGUUAUUGAGAGGGACCAACUAAUGGAUGAUCCAAACCAGCUGGUUGCUGAGAAGAUAUAUGCAAGACAAGAUUCUGCUGGGUAUCGCUAUUUGCCCAGCAGUACUGAUCAAGAGAUGGAUAAUAAUGAUAGGAGGACUUUACAGGCAGAACAAAAUCUCAAUCUGUUGCAAGCUAUGCACACUGUAGACUUCUGGAUUUUAUUUCUUGCCAUGGCUUGUGGUAUGGGCCCAGGACUUGCUACAGUGAAUAACAUGAGCCAGAUAGGAGGAUCUCUUGGAUACACCAGCUUUGAGACAGGUACUUUGGUUUCUUUGUGGAGCAUUUGGAAUUUUCUUGGCCGUUUUGGAGCUGGCUACGUAUCAGAUUAUUUUUUGCACUCAAGAGGAUGUGCAAGGCCAUUGUUCAUGGUCAUCACGCUAGCAAUCAUGAGCAUUGGUUAUUUGGUGAUUGCUUCUGGUUUGCCUGGUGCUCUAUAUGCUGGUUCAGUAUUAGUGGGUGUUUGUUAUGGUUCUCAGUGGUCACUAAUGCCCACUAUCACUUCUGAGAUAUUUGGCGUGGUUCAUAUGGGUACCAUUUUCAAUACAAUUACCAUAGCAAGUCCUGUUGGAUCUUAUAUAUUUUCUGUGAGAGUUGUUGGUUAUAUAUAUGACAAAGAAGCAUCAGGAGCUGGCAAAACAUGCACUGGAACUCAAUGCUUCAUGUUGUCUUUUCUUAUCAUGGCAUCUGCUACUCUUUUGGGGUCUCUUGCUGCCUUGGGGUUGUACUUUCGGACAAAAAGUUUCUAUAAUCAGGUUAUACUCAGAAGACUAAUACAUUCUUUGAGGGGAUAAAGUGUUGAGGAUUGUAAAAUACUUUGAAGGAGUCAAGUGCUUCUGUUCAGUGAGUAAAAGAGGUGGCAUUGGCCUACGGUCCCUGAUGUUUAAGUUAGUGAUCUUACCAGAGAAAUCAUUCUUUUUAGCAUACAGAUUGCUCAUACUUGACUCUAGUUGUGAGGCAUGAAUGUAUGGUUAGUUGGUUUUCCUUUGCUAGAUCCUUGUGCAUGAUUUUCUAAAAGCAACAGAUUCUUCUGGUAGUUAUGUGAUUGCAUCAUCCUCUCUGCCCAUCUAUUGAUUAGGUUCAACCAGAGGUGACAUGCUGGAGCUGGACUAUAUUGUUGAGAAAAAUUUAAGAAUAUCAAGAAGACAAAAUUGAAAAUUGUAAAUAUGAAGGAUUUCAAAUAAUUAAUGAUUAUUAUAUCUCUGUUUGUGCUUAUGCAUAUACCUACAUAUUUGUGCACACAUACACAUUAUUGAGUGAGAGUUUGUUCCUGCUCAGAAACAGGUUAUUUAACACAUGCGACCUCCAGAUGUCGUCUUGUUGAACGACUAUGUAUCAUAUUUGUGAAUUUAUAUUUUUGAACAUUAA
This is an RNA transcript of Quercus robur (English oak), 2339 nucleotides long. It is a transcript of the gene named protein NUCLEAR FUSION DEFECTIVE 4-like, with no coding region annotated. Lineage: Eukaryota; Viridiplantae; Streptophyta; Magnoliopsida; Fagales; Fagaceae. The transcript is spliced from 3 exons. The record is from RefSeq and is a predicted model, not a curated record.